RNAcentral lists this ribosomal RNA (423 nucleotides) under uncultured bacterium. RNAcentral's name for it is "bacterial SSU rRNA". It matches the Rfam family "Bacterial small subunit ribosomal RNA", at positions 66 to 487 of the family's 1533-position model. The record is from RNAcentral.
GCGUGAAAGUCCUUCGGGAUGAGUAAAGCGGCGGACGGGUGAGUAACGCGUAGGAAUCUACCUAAUAGUGGGGGAUAACGUUUCGAAAGGAACGCUAAUACCGCAUACGUUCUGAGGAAGAAAGCAGGGGAUCGCAAGACCUUGCGCUAUUAGAUGAGCCUGCGUCCGAUUAGCUAGUUGGCGGGGUAAGAGCCCACCAAGGCGACGAUCGGUAGCUGGUCUGGGAGGAUGAUCAGCCACACUGGAACUGAGACACGGUCCAGACUCCUACGGGAGGCAGCAGUGGGGAAUAUUGGACAAUGGGCGCAAGCCUGAUCCAGCCAUGCCGCGUGUGUGAAGAAGGCCUUCGGGUUGUAAAGCACUUUUGUUGGGGAAGAAAAGCUCUCGGUUAAUACCCGGGGGUUCUGACGGUACCCAAGGAAU